RNAcentral lists this ribosomal RNA (500 nucleotides) under uncultured bacterium. RNAcentral's name for it is "bacterial SSU rRNA". It matches the Rfam family "Bacterial small subunit ribosomal RNA", at positions 9 to 526 of the family's 1533-position model. The record is from RNAcentral.
GAGUUUGAUCCUGGCUCAGGACGAACGCUGGCGGCGUGCUUAAUACAUGCAAGUCGAACGGAGUUAAGGGUUUCGGCCCUUAACUUAGUGGCGAACGGGUGAGUAACGCGUGAAUAACCUGACUCAAAGAGGGGGAUAACAACGGGAAACUGUUGCUAAUACCGCAUGAGACCACAACACCGCAUGAUGAAGGGGUCAAAGAUUUAUCGCUUUGAGAGGGGUUCGCGUCCCAUUAGGUAGUUGGAGGGGUAACGGCCCACCAAGCCAACGAUGGGUAGCCGAGCUGAGAGGGUGACCGGCCACAUUGGGACUGAGACACGGCCCAAACUCCUACGGGAGGCAGCAGUGGGGAAUAUUGCACAAUGGGCGAAAGCCUGAUGCAGCGACGCCGCGUGAGCGAAGAAGUAUUUCGGUAUGUAAAGCUCUAUCAGCAGGGAAGAUAAUGACGGUACCUGACUAAGAAGCACCGGCUAAAUACGUGCCAGCCGCCGCGGUAAUAC